RNAcentral lists this long non-coding RNA (671 nucleotides) under Homo sapiens (human). RNAcentral describes it as "HSALNT0394297". Lineage: Eukaryota; Metazoa; Chordata; Mammalia; Primates; Hominidae. The record is from RNAcentral.
UUUCAGCAGGUCAUGCAGUCUUGACCGCAGCCCAGCCAGGGACCUGGCGUCACCAAGUCCUGGUCUUUGACAUUUGCUGCACCUUAGAGUCACCAGGGGCAGCUAUUACAAGUCUCAGUGCCUAGAGUACACCCCAAGUCGGUGAAAUCAGACACUGGGGAAAUGAGGCACAAGCCUUAGUAUUUAUAAAAACACCCCAGAAAAUUCCAAAGAGCAGCUAAGUUUGUGUGGAAGAAACAGUGACCCUGUCUUCUGGGUCUUAGACAGCCUCUCCUAUUUGUAUCUUUGGACCUAAAGUUAGUCUCUUGUGGGCAGACAACAUGCUUUUAUUUUUUAAUCCAUCCUGCCAGUUUUUGUCUUUUAACUGCACUUUAAAUAUGUAAUCUACUGUCUUUUGGCCGACCUAGCUUCUGAUGAUAAAUUGGCUGUUAAACUUAUCAAGGAUCCUUUGUACAUCAUGAGUCAAUUAUUCCUUGCUGCUUUCAAGAUUCUCUGUCUGUCUUUGUCUUUUGAGAGGUUUAUUAUAGUAUGUCUUGGUAUGUAUCCCUUUGAGUUUAUCCUUCGUGGAGUUUGCUCAGCAACUUGGAUGUAUGGACUCAUGUUUUCUUUUUAUCAAAAGUCACUACCUCUUAAUAUUGUUGAAGUUUAUUGAGUUAUUAUGUUUAGAGAAC